UACGUAGGCAGCAAGCGUUGUUCGGAGUUACUGGGCGUAAAGGGUGCGUAGGCGGCUAUUUAAGUCGGUGGUGAAAUCCUGGAGCUCAACUCCAGAACUGCCUUCGAUACUGAGAGUCUCGAGUCCGGGAGAGGUGAGUGGAACUGCGAGUGUAGAGGUGAAAUUCGUAGAUAUUCGCAAGGACACCAGUGGCGAAGGCGGCUCACUGGCCCGGUACUGACGCUGAGGUGCGAAAGCGUGGGGAGCAAACAGG
Molecule: ribosomal RNA, 253 nt
Filed under: uncultured bacterium
Lineage: Bacteria
Description: partial 16S ribosomal RNA
Rfam family: Bacterial small subunit ribosomal RNA
Source: RNAcentral